RNAcentral lists this ribosomal RNA (157 nucleotides) under Fusarium sp. NRRL 66088. RNAcentral describes it as "5.8S ribosomal RNA". It matches the Rfam family "5.8S ribosomal RNA". Rfam says of the family: 5.8S ribosomal RNA (5.8S rRNA) is a component of the large subunit of the eukaryotic ribosome. Lineage: Eukaryota; Fungi; Ascomycota; Sordariomycetes; Hypocreales; Nectriaceae. The record is from RNAcentral.
AUAAAUUAAAACUUUCAACAACGGAUCUCUUGGCUCUGGCAUCGAUGAAGAACGCAGCGAAAUGCGAUAAGUAAUGUGAAUUGCAGAAUUCAGUGAAUCAUCGAAUCUUUGAACGCACAUUGCGCCCGCCAGUAUUCUGGCGGGCAUGCCUGUUCNN